GUUCAUAGCCUCUUUUGUCUUCAAAUUCGUCCCUCCUCAUGCCUCCAUGCUUGCACAAUCCAAUCUUUGCCCAAAAAUGCUCUAGAAUGUUCCAAAUUGCUCAUUUUUGCAUACUUUGACAAUAAAACCUGAAAUUGCACGAAAUGACUUUAAACACUAAACUAACUAAGGAAAAAUAACAUAAAUGCAUGAGAACAAGCCAAUUAAGUCGCAUAAAAAUGCUCCUAUCAAAUUCCCCCACACUUAGCUUUUGCUAGUCCUCGAGCAAAACAAAGAAAACAUGAAAAAGUAAUAACAUGAAAAACAUUAGUUUCCCCCUAUGUGACCCUCAUAGAAUUUCAUUCAAGAAAACAAAUCAUCAAGAACCAUAGCUAGCACCAAACAAACUAAUCCAAGUUCAUCUUCCUUGUUCAAAUAUUAGCAGUAAUCUUUGAAUCAUCCUUGAAGUGUAGUGUGUGAGAUAGCCAUGCUAAUGCAAUUUCAAAAAAAAAUUUAUUUUUUAUUUUUAAAUCAUCAUAUGCAAACUAGCAACCUUCUCACGGGAUAUACACUCAAUCACACAUGUGUUUAGUUUUAAUGUGUUUCGCUCAAAGAAUCAAAUGUGAAAUUUCUACCAUAAGCUUGCAUAAAGAUCACUUCUCCACAGUCAUAAUUGCAAAACUUAAAUCAAGAGGACUUUUAUUGGAUGUAAUGAGGUUUAGGGAGAGGGUUAUUGAAAUGAAAGAAUAGGUAAACACAAGUUCCAAGCUACAUUGCAAGCAAUUCUUUUCUUUAGAUUUAUAAGAACUCAAUCUUUCCAAAGAUUCUUUUAGCACCUCUAACCACACCCUUAAACUGAAACUUGAACAACUUUUUAUUUUCUUUGUAUACAAUCCUUCUUUUUCUUUUCUUUUUUUCUUCUUUUUUUAUUUUUUAUUUUAUUUUUUAUUUUAUUUUUUAAUACAAACAUGAAAUACCCCCACACUUAUUCUUUUGCCAAACACCUUCAAAGUACUUCACAAACAUUUCUCAUAAGACAAUCUCACAUUGCUCACUAGCUUGCUUGGAAAGGGUAAGGAAAAAUGUUUCAGGUAUAAGGGUAGACAUAUCUGGUGAUAAGAAAUAAAAGGCUCAACAUACACGGCUCAAAUUGGCAAUCUAAUGAUAUCAUUUUU
Molecule: long non-coding RNA, 1154 nt
Filed under: Malus domestica (apple)
Lineage: Eukaryota; Viridiplantae; Streptophyta; Magnoliopsida; Rosales; Rosaceae
Description: long non-coding RNA (MDOM_LNC003198)
Source: RNAcentral